GAAAUGGAUGGGUUGGAUGAGAAGAACUUUAAGGGCCUAGGUCAGGCUUUGGGUGUUCCUGGUCCUGCGGGAGGGACACAAUGAGUCACCAAGAAAAAUCUGUUUAAAUUUGUUCGAGCGCUGACCCACUUGGCUGGCUCUGUGAGGCAAUGGCAGGUGUGAGCCGGCAACUGUGGUUGGUGAAAUUUGUUCAUCUGUCAAAUUUGUUCAUUCAUUUGUUAAUCUGUCAACAGACUUUCACUGGACAUUUGAUGUGCGUUCUUCAGGACUGGUCACAUAAUUGCAGGGCCCGAGGCAAAAAUGAAAAUAUGGGGCCCCUUGUUCAAAAAUGAAGAAUUUCAAGGCAGCCACAGCAGAACGUGAAACCGAAUACGGAGCCUUUCUAAAUGAGACAGCACAGACCACAUGCCCUGAAGCUGGUCCUGCUUAGGGUGAAGAACCCUGUCUGGGGGACAAAGCCAUCAUCCAAGCUGCACCUGGACAAGUUUCCUCAAGAAGUGGAGAAAGUUGGCCAUGGAGAGGUGAAGCAAAAACGGCCACGGUCUGAGAAAAACGGAGGUGAGGGUUGGGGAGUGUGUGUGUGUGUGGUGGGUGUGUAUUUGUGCAUGGUAUGCACCUGAAUGUUUUUGUGUACACAUGCACAUGCCUGUGUGAUGUAUCUGUACAACUGUUGUAUAUAUAUAUUUUUGUCUUUUUAAGGCUGCAUUGCAGGUAUUUGGACGUUCCCAAGUGAGGGGUCAAAU
Molecule: long non-coding RNA, 743 nt
Filed under: Sus scrofa (pig)
Lineage: Eukaryota; Metazoa; Chordata; Mammalia; Artiodactyla; Suidae
Description: lncRNA (ENSSSCG00070024503.1)
Source: RNAcentral